AACGAACGCUGGCGGCAUGCCUAACACAUGCAAGUCGAACGAGACCUUCGAGUCUAGUGGCGCACGGGUGCGUAACGCGUGGGAACCUGCCCUUAGGUUCGGAAUAACUCCCCGAAAGGGGUGCUAAUACCGGAUAAUGUCUUCGGACCAAAGAUUUAUCGCCUUUGGAUGGGCCCGCGUUGGAUUAGCUAGUUGGUAGGGUAAAAGCCUACCAAGGCGACGAUCCAUAGCUGGUCUGAGAGGAUGAUCAGCCACACUGGGACUGAGACACGGCCCAGACUCCUACGGGAGGCAGCAGUAUAGAAUAUUGGACAAUGGGCGAGAGCCUGAUCCAGCAAUGCCGCGUGAGUGAUGAAGGCCUUAGGGUUGUAAAGCUCUUUUACCCGGGAUGAUAAUGACAGUACCGGGAGAAUAAGCUCCGGCUAACUCCGUG
This 433-nucleotide ribosomal RNA is filed under the name uncultured bacterium. Its description in RNAcentral is "partial 16S ribosomal RNA". It matches the Rfam family "Bacterial small subunit ribosomal RNA", at positions 29 to 507 of the family's 1533-position model. The record is from RNAcentral.